This 1440-nucleotide ribosomal RNA is filed under the name Triticum aestivum (bread wheat). RNAcentral's name for it is "partial small subunit ribosomal RNA". The record is from RNAcentral. Lineage: Eukaryota; Viridiplantae; Streptophyta; Magnoliopsida; Poales; Poaceae.
AUGAUACCCCAAGGUAGUAUAACACAAAUUGAGCUGGAAUACAUGCUAAUCGAUGAAAAUUUAGAGCCCAAGGCCCUGCCCUACCCACUUUUGAAGAAAAUAACAGAUAAUUUUUCUGAGAAGCUGGUGAUUGGAAGAGGUGGCUUUGCAGUGGUUUACAAAGGAAAGCUUGAUAAUGGAACUAUCGCUGUAAAGAAGUUGUCAAAUAUAUACAUGCAAGAGGAACAAUUCCACCGAGAGGUGGAAUGUCUAAUGAAGGUGAAGCACAAAAAUGUUCUACGGUUUCUAGGAUAUUGUGCUGACACCCAAGGGAAUAUGGCAAGCUACAAUGGGAGAAUGGUUAUGGCAGACGUACAACAGAGAUUGCUCUGCUUUGAGUAUCUACCUAAGGGAAAUCUUGAUGAUUUUAUUAAAGAUACAUCUGAAGAACUUGAAUGGAGAAAGCGCUACCAAGUAAUAAAAGGGAUAUGCGAAGGGAUAAAUUAUCUUCACCAAAAAAAUAUCGUGCACUUAGAUCUGAAACCCGAGAAUAUAUUAUUCGAUAAAGAUAUGAUGCCGAAAAUUACUGAUUUCGGAAUAUCAAGGUGUUUUGAGGAAGAUCAAACACGCAUCAUUACCAAGAAUGUGGGUGGAACGUUAGGAUAUUUGGCACCUGAAUUCUAUGUGGGUGAAAUCACACACAAGUUUGACUUGUAUAGUCUUGGUAUUAUUAUUAUGGAGAUGUUGACUGGAAAGAAGGGGUGUCACAACAUUGCAAAUGUAUGUGAAAGUUGGAGUAGUAACUCUGAUAUAUUGUGGUGGGACCAAAUACGAGUAUGUGCUGAGAUUGGGAUCGAGUGCAGUGACUUAGAACCAGCCAAGAGACCAGAAAAUAUUAAACAUAUAAUUGAUAGACUUUUAUCAACAGAAAGUAGUACACAUGUAAUCCCAGCAGGUGGGCCCAAGAAGCUUCUUGUCCUUCACCCGCCAGUGCUUCGCUUCCCCUUUGAGGCCAACAAGGUUAUCACGUGCCCGCUUCAGCUAACAAAUAACACCGAUAAACCCAUUGCAUUUAGGCUAAUGGACAAGAGUGUGGGGUCCUCCUUCCUAAGGCUGCCAUUGUGUGGUGUUGUGCUGCCUAACACACCUUACACUCUGGUCGUGACAACAAAAACGCAAGAAAAGUGGCCGCGAAAGUGGAUCACAGAUGUGAACCUCCAGGGUGCUUCAUUAAUAUUGGGGGAUGAUGAGCAUAUAAAGACAUUCCAAAGUCAUCCAGAACAGUAUUUUCAACAGAUGGGGAAUGCCGUGCAGAAGGUGGAACUAAAAGGACUUUAUACUGUGCCACAACAAGUCACUAUAUCAACACAUGAGCCAAUCUCCACCACAAUAAAGCUACUAUGCAAGGUAGAACACCCUGGCGAGUAUUCCUUGGACACGAACCAUGCAAAGCAAUGGUGA